This 916-nucleotide ribosomal RNA is filed under the name Staphylococcus aureus. RNAcentral describes it as "bacterial SSU rRNA". It matches the Rfam family "Bacterial small subunit ribosomal RNA", at positions 53 to 950 of the family's 1533-position model. The record is from RNAcentral. Lineage: Bacteria; Bacillati; Bacillota; Bacilli; Caryophanales; Staphylococcaceae.
ACAUGCAAGUCGAGCGAACGGACGAGAAGCUUGCUUCUCUGAUGUUAGCGGCGGACGGGUGAGUAACACGUGGAUAACCUACCUAUAAGACUGGGAUAACUUCGGGAAACCGGAGCUAAUACCGGAUAAUAUUUUGAACCGCAUGGUUCAAAAGUGAAAGACGGUCUUGCUGUCACUUAUAGAUGGAUCCGCGCUGCAUUAGCUAGUUGGUAAGGUAACGGCUUACCAAGGCAACGAUGCAUAGCCGACCUGAGAGGGUGAUCGGCCACACUGGAACUGAGACACGGUCCAGACUCCUACGGGAGGCAGCAGUAGGGAAUCUUCCGCAAUGGGCGAAAGCCUGACGGAGCAACGCCGCGUGAGUGAUGAAGGUCUUCGGAUCGUAAAACUCUGUUAUUAGGGAAGAACAUAUGUGUAAGUAACUGUGCACAUCUUGACGGUACCUAAUCAGAAAGCCACGGCUAACUACGUGCCAGCAGCCGCGGUAAUACGUAGGUGGCAAGCGUUAUCCGGAAUUAUUGGGCGUAAAGCGCGCGUAGGCGGUUUUUUAAGUCUGAUGUGAAAGCCCACGGCUCAACCGUGGAGGGUCAUUGGAAACUGGAAAACUUGAGUGCAGAAGAGGAAAGUGGAAUUCCAUGUGUAGCGGUGAAAUGCGCAGAGAUAUGGAGGAACACCAGUGGCGAAGGCGACUUUCUGGUCUGUAACUGACGCUGAUGUGCGAAAGCGUGGGGAUCAAACAGGAUUAGAUACCCUGGUAGUCCACGCCGUAAACGAUGAGUGCUAAGUGUUAGGGGGUUUCCGCCCCUUAGUGCUGCAGCUAACGCAUUAAGCACUCCGCCUGGGGAGUACGACCGCAAGGUUGAAACUCAAAGGAAUUGACGGGGACCCGCACAAGCGGUGGAGCAUGUGGUUUAAU